Molecule: long non-coding RNA, 1194 nt
Organism: Bos taurus (domestic cattle)
Lineage: Eukaryota; Metazoa; Chordata; Mammalia; Artiodactyla; Bovidae
Source: Ensembl
GCUCUGACACACCCAGACCCUUCAACUCUGUCUUAACAUCCUGGACUGCUGCCAGUCUCCUUUCUCCAGACGAAGCAGCAUAAGACCAAUCUACAAGGACUUUGGAGCUGGGUGUCUACAAGGCCAGGAGGUGAAUUUACAGAAGCCAAGAAAAGAGCCACCAGGAAGCAGUAGACCAAAGGAUUCUAGGAGCUCACACAGGACUGGGGAGAGUUCAUGGUCUUCGCAACCUGCAUGAAGAAAUUUGGUAUGACAUGCUGCUGCUGCUGCUACCAAGUCGCUUCAGUCGUGUCCAACUCUGGGCGACCCCAUAAAUGGCAGCCCACAAACUCUCCCGUCGUCCCUGGGAUCCUCCAGGCAAGAGUACUGGAGUGGGUUGCCAUUUCCUUCACCAAUGCAUGAAAGUGAAAAGUGAAAGUGAAGUCGCUCAGUCGUGUCUGACUCUUUGUGAUCCCAUGGAUGGCAGCCUACCAGGCUCCUCCGUCCAUGGAAGUUUCCAGGCAAGAGUACUGGAGUGGGUUGCAUUGCCUUUUCCUGGUAUGACAUGGGGUAUUGGCAAAAUUCUCCCAGGGGUUACACCAUCAUCUCAGGGCUAAAUUACUCCUAGAGUCAUCUUCUCUGGGCUCACUGAUAAAGAUUAGCAACAAGCCUUGAAGGGCUCAAAAUGGUGUACAAGUGAAAGUGCCAGAGAAGCAAAUACUCAUUAAAAGAAAACAAACAAACAAAAAUCUGAAUGACAUAACCCUCACAGUGAUAAGUAAAUGAUAAAGAAGUUACUUUGUUUGCAGAUAAGCAGGAAACUACACCCAAUACCCAGAGGAAAAUCAGCACCAAAAAUGACAGAGAGAAAGAAAUUAGGAGACAAGGAUCUUAAGACAACAUUUAUAAAUCUUAAAUAUGCUCAAGGAUAUAAAAGAAAACAUGGAAAAGAUCAGGAAAGAAAUGAUAAACAUGAUAAAGGACCAAAGGAAACUUUGAGAGGUGAAAAAUACGAUACAUAUACACACAAAAAUAGACUGAAUGAGAUUAACAUCAGAUCAGACACAGCAAUCACGGAAUUAAAAGAAACCUGCUCCUGGGAAGAAAAGCUAUGACAAACCUAGACAGUGUAUUAAAAAGCAGAGACAUCACUUUGCAGACAAGGUCUAUAUAGUGAAAACUAUGAUUUUUCCAGUAGUCAUGGAUGGAUGUGAG